This 256-nucleotide ribosomal RNA is filed under the name uncultured bacterium. RNAcentral describes it as "partial 16S ribosomal RNA". It matches the Rfam family "Bacterial small subunit ribosomal RNA", at positions 526 to 779 of the family's 1533-position model. The record is from RNAcentral.
CGUAGGUGGCGAACGUUAUCCGGAAUAACUGGGGCGUAAAAGGGUCCGUAGGCGGCCUUGAAGGUCUGGCGUGAAAGCCCUCGGCUAAACUGAGGGAGUGCGUUGGAAACCGCGAGGCUAGCAUCACGCAGGGGCUGGUGGAAUUCCCGGCGUAGUGGUGGAAUGCGUAGAGAUCGGGAGGAACCUCUAGAGCGAAGGCAACCGGCUAGGCGAUGAUGGACGCUGAGGGACGAAAGCGUGGGGAGCGAACAGGAUU